Molecule: ribosomal RNA, 497 nt
Filed under: uncultured bacterium
Lineage: Bacteria
Description: partial 16S ribosomal RNA
Rfam family: Bacterial small subunit ribosomal RNA
Source: RNAcentral
GGUGAACGCUGGCGGCGUGCCUAAUACAUGCAAGUCGAGCGAACAGACGAGGGGCUUGCUCCUCUGACGUUAGCGGCGGACGGGUGAGUAACACGUGGAUAACCUACCUAUAAGACUGGGAUAACUUCGGGAAACCGGAGCUAAUACCGGAUAAUAUAUUGAACCGCAUGGUUCAAUAGUGAAAGACGGUUUUGCUGUCACUUAUAGAUGGAUCCGCGCCGCAUUAGCUAGUUGGUAAGGUAACGGCUUACCAAGGCAACGAUGCGUAGCCGACCUGAGAGGGUGAUCGGCCACACUGGAACUGAGACACGGUCCAGACUCCUACGGGAGGCAGCAGUAGGGAAUCUUCCGCAAUGGGCGAAAGCCUGACGGAGCAACGCCGCGUGAGUGAUGAAGGUCUUCGGAUCGUAAAACUCUGUUAUUAGGGAAGAACAAAUGUGCAAGUAACUAUGCACGUCUUGACGGUACCUAAUCAGAAAGCCACGGCUAACUACGUG